RNA transcript from Nicotiana attenuata, 2341 nucleotides. RefSeq lists it as uncharacterized. NCBI's taxonomy places the organism in Eukaryota, Viridiplantae, Streptophyta, Magnoliopsida, Solanales, Solanaceae. The record is from RefSeq and is a predicted model, not a curated record. The transcript has 8 exons.
GUGACCUUCUUUUUUCCGCCUAAGAUAAAGAAUAUUGGUAAUUAGUAGUAGACUUGCCUGUGUAGUUUGUUGGUAAUUAAGACGCAGUCGAGCCUGUUUAUGUUCGAUGCCUAAAAUACAGAAUAUUGGUAAUUAGAGUUUGGCUUGUUUCUUCAUCAGAUUUUACUAUCAACUGGUUGUACGAUAGAAUUGAAAUGGUUUGCAGACUGUGUUUGUUGGAUGAUUUUUUUUUUUUAGUCAAAGCAGCGUCCUUUUAUUGACGAAGGUUAAAUGGGCAAAAUUUAAGGAAGAGCUUCCUCGUGAUUUUGAGGGGUUGACAUUCCAACCUUUAUCCUCUAUGCAUCCUAACUGUACCAAAGAAUCAAUGCUACAUCUAUACAUUAUGGGGGUUGAAAUUGAAUUUCCCUAGCUUUCAAUGUUCUAAUUCUAAAGGAUGCCAUCUCCCAUUUAUCAAGUUGGAUAAGUCCUCUAACUAGUCUUAGGAGCCUUUCACAGCUGGUUAUACGGGACGCCUUUUGUGCGUAUGACUAAGAGCUUCCAAUUUAUCUGCUACUUUGUUUGCUUCAAGAAAACAAUGCUGCGCGACAAACUCUUUCUGCUCGAUUACCUGUUUGAUGGUGUCCACUGCUUGGAUCAUCCUCUGUGGCGUCGUGGUCUUUCUAUUCAUACAUGAUGUUAGUAUUUGCGAAUCUGUCUCUACCUGGAUAUUGUCAAGGUCAUUUGCUUCACACAAUUGCAAUCCAAAGAGCAUAGCUUGGCUCUCCGCCCAGUUGUUUGUACCAUGUCCGAGAUAAACUAAGAAGGCCAAUACAAAUUUCCCCCUACUAUCUGCUAUGCCAAAGGUUAAACGUUUCCGAAAUCCAUUAAAAUCAGCUCAUGGACCAUAUGAUGCUCCUGGACGUUCUUCAUCAUCAACAACUCCAGCCCCGUCACUUGUUAUAGAGCCCUCAACAUCGUUACAAGCUCCUUCACAUGCUCCUGCAAGUUCCUCAGUAGCUGAUGAAGUCCCACAACAAGAACAAGCUCCAACACAGCCUUCAAAUCCAAGUGCAAUGUCAACACGCCAUCCUGGACGUGAAUCUACACAAUAUUGGAAAGUAGAGGCAAUAGACUCAAACAACACUACCAAGCACAUCAAGAUCAAGGUCAAUGAGGUCAACAACCUACCUAUCGGAGAACGCAUCAUUGUGGACUUUGAAAUCUACGAUGCAGCAUAUGGGGGAUAUUGUGGAUUACUGGCUAUUGAUGGCAAUUUCUUCCCAAUUAAUUUUGACAGGUGGUCAGGACCGUCUGGUAUUCCUAAAAAAUACAAGGAAGACUGCUUUGAAACCAUGCUAAAGCCUCGGUUUUUUUUAGGACUACUAAUGCCAUUGCAUACAGAUAUUGCAAUGCUAGUUUGAAUAAGAAGUGGGCUACACAUAGACAUAGGUUGUGGGAUGAAUUUUAUGACCCGGCCAAAAGCAGAACUGAACUUUUAAGCAAUGUGCCACCGGGCAUAAGUAGAGACCAGUGGGCUGGUUUUAUUGCUUAUCGUCUAAAAUCAUCAACAAUUUUGUAGAAGAAAUAAAGAAAUUCGACGCAAGCAAACAAUGCCUCACACUGGCGGAUCCAAAGUUAACUCGAGACGACGACAUGAGUUGUUUUUGGAAACUGGGGAAUAUCCUACUCGGGGAAAGAUGUUUAUCGAAACUCAUAAGAGAAAUGAUGGAUCAUUUGUAAAUGAUGAGGCAAGAACUAUAGUGGUACAUUCAGCUUUGGAACAAAUUGAAUCGACUCAAGGCAAUACCAAUAAUUCUGAAAUUUCCCCAGAUAGAUAUUAUUGGCAAGGUGUUAGGGGCAGAGCAUUCUGGGAGGGUACGAUGUAUGGGUAUGGGAGCAGCUCCUUCAAAUACAUUCAAGAAUAUCAAGCAACGACUUAAUGCGCUGAACCAUUCUUCAUCUAGCUUCGGUGCAUCGUCUGCAACUUUCACCUAUUUGCAACAAGAGGUCACUCAUUUGAAGUCCCAAUUAGCAGACACCUUAACUACACUGAAAGCUUACAUUAUAUCAAAGGAAGGAAGAGUUCCUGAGGAAUUUGCUGGUCUGUUUGCUCCUCAACCACAACCUAGUGAUGAUGCAGAGAGUGAACCUACCUCGCCGGUGGAUGUAAGAGGAUCAUCGGGCAGCAGCUACCAGAAUCACCAAGCAAAUACUUAGAAUGUUAUUUAUAUAAUGUGGUACCAUUGGUGCUUUUAUGGAUUUUAAGUAGUAAUGUUUAGGAGCUACUUUAGUAUGAUUUGUAGUACUUGAAUUAGUGAUUGCUGCUAUUGUGGAUGUUUAAUGAAAUUUGAUUUCUGUUAUA